AGGUGAUGGACAACAGGUUGAUAUUCCUGUACUACCGAUAACCGUUUGAGAGAAGGGAUGACACAGUAGGAUAAGCUAAGCACACUGUUGGUUAUGUGUGCCCAAGCAUUGAGGCAGUCAAAGUAGGCAAAUCCGCUUUGAUAAUGCUGGGAUGUGAGGGGGAGCGAAAUUUAGUAGCGAAGUAGCUGAUUUCACACUGUCAAGAAAAGUCUCUAUCGAGGUUAAAGGUACCCGUACCGCAAACCGACACAGG
This 253-nucleotide ribosomal RNA is filed under the name Clostridioides difficile. Its description in RNAcentral is "partial 23S ribosomal RNA". It matches the Rfam family "Bacterial large subunit ribosomal RNA", at positions 1413 to 1663 of the family's 2925-position model. The record is from RNAcentral. Lineage: Bacteria; Bacillati; Bacillota; Clostridia; Peptostreptococcales; Peptostreptococcaceae.